RNAcentral lists this ribosomal RNA (570 nucleotides) under Lactobacillus gasseri. RNAcentral describes it as "bacterial SSU rRNA". It matches the Rfam family "Bacterial small subunit ribosomal RNA", at positions 32 to 562 of the family's 1533-position model. Lineage: Bacteria; Bacillati; Bacillota; Bacilli; Lactobacillales; Lactobacillaceae. The record is from RNAcentral.
AACGCUGGCGGCGUGCCUAAUACAUGCAAGUCGAGCGAGCUUGCCUAGAUGAAUUUGGUGCUUGCACCAAAUGAAACUAGAUACAAGCGAGCGGCGGACGGGUGAGUAACACGUGGGUAACCUGCCCAAGAGACUGGGAUAACACCUGGAAACAGAUGCUAAUACCGGAUAACAACACUAGACGCAUGUCUAGAGUUUAAAAGAUGGUUCUGCUAUCACUCUUGGAUGGACCUGCGGUGCAUUAGCUAGUUGGUAAGGUAACGGCUUACCAAGGCAAUGAUGCAUAGCCGAGUUGAGAGACUGAUCGGCCACAUUGGGACUGAGACACGGCCCAAACUCCUACGGGAGGCAGCAGUAGGGAAUCUUCCACAAUGGACGCAAGUCUGAUGGAGCAACGCCGCGUGAGUGAAGAAGGGUUUCGGCUCGUAAAGCUCUGUUGGUAGUGAAGAAAGAUAGAGGUAGUAACUGGCCUUUAUUUGACGGUAAUUACUUAGAAAGUCACGGCUAACUACGUGCCAGCAGCCGCGGUAAUACGUAGGUGGCAAGCGUUGUCCGGAUUUAUUGGGCGUA